GUUUGGUAGAACGUUUGCGGAUAUACAAUGUACCUUCAAAAUAAUUUUUUUGGGACCUUGUUGGUGUUUCUAUGUUUAUUUACACUGGGAUGUAAAAUUGAAAGUAAUACUUUUAAAGAACUUCUAGUUCACAUUUUUCAACAAUCAGAUGUUGCCCUGCAUGAUACAUGUAAAAUUUUACCUGUUUAUGUUCUCCUUUUUUCUUUUUUUUUGGCCAAAUAUUUUUUUUGCAUCCUUAAGUUUAUAUGGCAACAUAUUUUUUUCUUUCUAAUUUCCCCCCUAAAUCUUAUUUUUAAUAUUUUUUAAACUUGGGAAUUUUCAUUUUUUUCAUUUUUUGGUAAAAAAAUUAUUCUUCACUGGACUUGGUGAACUAUGGUCAGUAUCGGGCCCACUGCCUGCCUAAGAGGGGCCCGAGUACAUAAUGCUUCAGUGAUUCAUAUAAACAACCAGAUUUUUUUCUCAAAAGGGGGGGCCCCCCUCCUUAAUUCACCUCUGAUGCUAAUUAAGGUAUCAUAUUGCAGGAUCUUGCUUCUUAAAAAGUUAAAAAUAAGACUUUUCUCUGCAAAGCUUUUACCAGCUAGUUGAACCCUGAUUAGGUUGAAAAAAAUCAGAUGCAGAUUCCAGCUUUUUUAGAGGGGGGGGGGGUAAAAAAAUGACAAAUCUUGGAUAAAAUGGAGGAAGGAAAUGUGGAAUGUGUCAAAGAGACAACAACCCGCCCAAAGAGCAAAUAACAGCCAAAUUGUUAAAACUUCUGUGCAUUAACAAAUAUGUAUAACCCUAAUGCCAGUAAAUGGUGGCUUGGGGUUUGGCAUCCUGCUCCAUCAAAUCAACCCAGAAAUUAGAUUCUUGUAUAAGUUGACAUUCUUGCAAAUUCUGUCUUGGAAUGACUUCUCUGAUUAGCAAUUCAUAAUCUUAAUAAAAUAUCGAUUACUUGUAUAUAAUUUCUAGAAUAUUUGCAAACAUGUGUAUAAUCUAAUUUUAGAAUCAUAACUAACCCAAGAAAAUGGAAAUGAAAAGAAAAGGUUACUUUCCAGUCAAGUGAUGAGCAUACUUACUAAAUACUGAAGGUGUUCUAGAUACUGAUGUUCACAGGAUUGAUACAUGUAGGUAUAUAUUAGUUAGUAAAAUCAGUGAAACCAUUAUUUAAAAUUAAACAUUUAUAGUUACACUUUAGUAUGCACAGACUCAGUUGAAAAGUAGUUGAAAAUCUGAAAAUGACACACACUUAAUAGCCAAGGGACAGUGAACAGGUCUUCUUUGAUGCGCUGAAUAUAAACAUGUAUUUAGAUUUUUUAUUUGUGCCCAGUUUUCUGUUUUUUCAUUUAAAUAUAUGCAUUUUCAAUUGUUGCACGUGACACUUGGCAGCUUCAAUAAGAUAUUGAAAAUGUUUUCAUUAUGACAACUCCAAAUCUUGUAUUGUUUUGCUCAGCUCAACCACCUCAAUUAUUUGUAUGUGUCUGAACU
RNAcentral lists this long non-coding RNA (1464 nucleotides) under Mytilus galloprovincialis (Mediterranean mussel). Lineage: Eukaryota; Metazoa; Mollusca; Bivalvia; Mytilida; Mytilidae. The record is from RNAcentral.